GCGGCGUGCCUAAUCAUGCAAGUUCAGCGAAUGGAUUGAGAGCUUGCUCUCAAGAAGUUAGCGGCGGACGGGUGAGUAACACGUGGGUAACCUGCCCAUAAGACUGGGAUAACUCCGGGAAACCGGGGCUAAUACCGGAUAACAUUUUGAACUGCAUGGUUCGAAAUUGAAAGGCGGCUUCGGCUGUCACUUAUGGAUGGACCCGCGUCGCAUUAGCUAGUUGGUGAGGUAACGGCUCACCAAGGCAACGAUGCGUAGCCGACCUGAGAGGGUGAUCGGCCACACUGGGACUGAGACACGGCCCAGACUCCUACGGGAGGCAGCAGUAGGGAAUCUUCCGCAAUGGACGAAAGUCUGACGGAGCAACGCCGCGUGAGUGAUGAAGGCUUUCGGGUCGUAAAACUCUGUUGUUAGGGAAGAACAAGUGCUAGUUGAAUAAGCUGGCACCUUGACGGUACCUAACCAGAAAGCCACGGCUAACUACGUGCCAGCAGCCGCGGUAAUACGUAGGUGGCAAGCGUUAUCCGGAAUUAUUGGGCGUAAAGCGCGCGCAGGUGGUUUCUUAAGUCUGAUGUGAAAGCCCACGGCUCAACCGUGGAGGGUCAUUGGAAACUGGGAGACUUGAGUGCAGAAGAGGAAAGUGGAAUUCCAUGUGUAGCGGUGAAAUGCGUAGAGAUAUGGAGGAACACCAGUGGCGAAGGCGACUUUCUGGUCUGUAACUGACACUGAGGCGCGAAAGCGUGGGGAGCAAACAGGAUAGAUACCCUGGUAGUCCACGCCGUAAACGAUGAGUGCUAAGUGUUAGAGG
Molecule: ribosomal RNA, 808 nt
Filed under: Bacillus thuringiensis
Lineage: Bacteria; Bacillati; Bacillota; Bacilli; Caryophanales; Bacillaceae
Description: bacterial SSU rRNA
Rfam family: Bacterial small subunit ribosomal RNA
Source: RNAcentral